RNAcentral lists this long non-coding RNA (333 nucleotides) under Ananas comosus (pineapple). RNAcentral's name for it is "long non-coding RNA (ACOM_LNC023050)". Lineage: Eukaryota; Viridiplantae; Streptophyta; Magnoliopsida; Poales; Bromeliaceae. The record is from RNAcentral.
UAAUAUAUAGAGUAUAUUGAGUCCGGCUGGAGUGCUUCUACUAACACUAGCAAUUGGUGUUAUCAAACUUUUCACUGUUAUAUUUAUCUUUUUAAUCAUUUCUAUCUGUUAGAUUAUACUAUUCAAUCAACCACCCAUUCUAGGGUUCAAUCAAUCGCUCAUUCAACCCUAGAAGAUCACCAUCAUCCUAACCGUAUAUAUCUUCAUCCAAGAGUCCAAAAUCUUAUAUCACGAAUGACUUAGUGCUGUUAGAAGCAUUCCAGUAUAAUUCAUAGUAUAUAAAUUAUAAACAAUAUUGAUUGAUCAACUAGAUUGAAUUGAUUCACCUUUGUU